Molecule: long non-coding RNA, 2632 nt
Filed under: Homo sapiens (human)
Lineage: Eukaryota; Metazoa; Chordata; Mammalia; Primates; Hominidae
Description: HSALNT0075247
Source: RNAcentral
GUGCCUAAUAGUAUAUGAAAAAGUGAUAGGAUGCCACUCCUAUGAUUACAUCACAUUAUAUAAAUCUUGCUAGUCGACUGCUUUAGAGCUUCUCCUUGCUGGUUCAAUGAAGUAAGCAACUAUGUUGAAAAAGUCCACAUGGCAAAGAACUGCUGGUGGCCUGUAAGACCUGAGGGCAGCCUCCAGCUGAAAACUGACAGGCAGAAAAAAGUCAGGGUCCUCAGUCCACAGCUACAGUGAAAUGAAUUCUGCAACCACCUGAUUGAGCUUGAAAUCUGAUGCUUUCCCAGCUAAGCCUCCAGAUGAAAAUGCAGCUCGGUUGAAACCCUGCAAAAAUGAGCAGAGAACCCAGCCAAGUUGUGACUGGAGACUCCUGACUUACGGACAAUAAGAGAGGAAAUGUCUUUUGAAAGCUUCACUGACGCCAAGCAGAUUUCUUCCAACAAUUUCUUGCUUCUUGUGAUGUUAGAAGAGCAAUUAUGUUCCUGUGAGCAGCUGAUGGAGGACAUUAUCAACAUGGAAGUACUUCUUUGUGAGAGAACUGUCAGCUUACGUUUAUAUUAAUAGAUAUUACCUUUGGACUAUAUCUGUGGGAAAAGAAAAGCUAUUUCAGUCCAAGCGAUUCUCCUGUGUCAGCCUCCCAACUAGCUGGGAUUACAGGUCUCCUUCUGAAGAGGGUGAAGAUCUCUACCCCGAAAUAUGGUCAAGACCUCAUAACAACACCAAGAAAUCCAGGGAAGAUUUAUUUUCCCACCUCUGUGUUGGCUCAAGAAGAAAAGAAUAGAUUUCAAUGGCAGCUAGUAUAAAUAUUAUCUAGAAAUAUAACCUAGUAAUUUUUUAAAAAAUACAAUCCAAUAUUACACAUUGGUUAUGGAUACAUAAAUAUGAUAGUGUUGAUGUUGAUAUUCCCACCCCUCCCCCCAUUUAUUCUAAUUUAUGACAGGCUGAUUUCCACAUUUUCCACCCUCAUCAUUCUACAUAACCUGUUCUUGCUAAGACCACCAAUAGUUCCCUACUUGGCAAAGCCAAUGCGUUCUUUCAGUCUUCUUUCUACUUAACCUCUCUUCAGCCAUUGGCAAUAUUAAUUAUUCCCUCUCUCUCUUCCUAAUUUCCAUGCCAUUACUUAUAUUCUACUACUCUGUUUGCCACUUUAUUAGAUUCUCUUCCUCCAUCCCUCCCAAAAAUGAUAGCCAUUCUCAGCCUCUAUCUGUACAUUCCCACUAAGUAAUUGGUUACAUUAUAGAGACACUAGGAUAACAGUUUUUAAAAACUCAGUGAAGGAGUACUCGCUUCCCUGUACCUCCUGGUUUCACUGUUAUAAUUGAAGUAACAAUACAAAACAGUUCACAGUUAAAGUACUGUCUGCAUGUAUAGGUUGGUACCAAAUAGGCAACAUAUGCAGCAUGAAAUAUGAAAACUAACAUGCCAAUUUCCACUGCCCCUUUUCUGUGUUCCUAACCUUUAACACUUCUAAACAUCUCUCCUUCAAAGAGCUUAGAUUUAGGACUUCCCAUAUCUUUUCUCUUUUCUGAUGUUGAAGUUCCCAUUUCCUAAACACCAGUCAUUGGCAAAAAGCACACAAUUAAACCUAUUAAAAGGCAAGUAAAUAUGUAGCUAAACCCAUUUACAGCAUAAGGAAUUUAGUUAAUAUGACCUCAGUUUACUCAGCAAAUGCAUUAUUUUAUUCUCUUUCUGAUUCACUAACUUGCAAUUUUUUGGAUUAUUUUUUCCUAAUUUUUAUACUUAGGAUUACUGUCUUUCUUAACAUAUUCUAACUCUGGUGAGGUGUUAACCUCAUCUUGACUGAGACCUAAGUCCACCAUUUCAAAUUCUGGCAGAAAAUUUUCAUUUAAAGUUACUCCAAAUCCAUACUCCCUGAGAUGGAGUAACUUUAAAAGAAAGUUACUCCACAGAAAGCCCACAUAUUGGCAAUCUUGGGCUUUUUUACCCAAGGAGAAAACAACUUGCCCUCAGCUUCUUAAUUUUCCUCUUUAAAAUCCAAAAGAUGUUAAAUAAAUUUCCAGCUUCUUCUUACCUCACCCCCACAACAGCAUUAGAUUACCUACCUCAAAGAACUUAUUCCUUUUUAAAGUUAUCAAACAUUUAUUUGGUAAAAUUUGGGCACCAAAUGCUUUGUACUUGGUGCCAGACUUACAGAAAUGCAGAAGACAUAGUAGAGAGUAUCAAAAAGGGUCACUUGGCAGAAGCUAUACAUAGAAAGAAAUGGCCUCUCAGAGGAGAUAAAGCAUCAGCUGAAUCUCUGAAUAAUAAACAGGCAUUAUAUUAGUUUAUAUGAAGAAGGGAUAGGAGAAUGCUUAGCAUGAAAGCAAGAGUACAUGCAAAGGCACAGAGACUUAAGAAGGCAUGAUGCCCUUAACUAAAGAUUUUAACUUACAGCUAAAGAGUGGUGCAAGUGUAAGGAAGAAAGUCAGAUAGGUAGGCAAAGGAAAGCUUACAAUACUCUCUGUAUAAUCUGAAAACAAAUGUGAAAUUUAUUCUGAAAGCACAGAAAACCUAAUGGACAAUUUGAGAAGAAAAGUAACAUGAUCAGAUUUGCAAAGAACUCUUGAGUGGCAGUGAUAAAGAUGAACUCAAUGGGGCAAUGAUAAUGAAAGCAAGCAAUUAAAAGGCA